AAUGCAAGUCGRCUGSUYUUAUUSGCUUWUUUUGAAGAUCAGCGGCGGACGGGUGAGUACAGCGUGGGAACCUGCCUGUAAGACUGGGAUAACUUCGGGAAACCGGAGCUAAUACCGGAUAAUCCUUUCCCUCACAUGAGGGAAAGCUGAAAGACGGUUUCGGCUGUCACUUACAGAUGGGCCCGCGGCGCAUUAGCUAGUUGGUGAGGUAACGGCUCACCAAGGCAACGAUGCGUAGCCGACCUGAGAGGGUGAUCGGCCACACUGGGACUGAGACACGGCCCAGACUUCUACGGGAGGCAGCAGUAGGGAAUCUUCCGCAAUGGACGAAAGUCUGACGGAGCAACGCCGCGUGAACGAUGAAGGCUUUCGGGUCGUAAAGUUCUGUUGUCAGGGAAGAACAAGUAUCGGAGUAACUGCCGGUACCUUGACGGUACCUGACCAGAAAGCCACGGCUAAUACGUGCCAGCAGCCGCGGUAAUACGUAGGUGGCAAGCGUUGUCCGGAAUUAUUGGGCGUAAAGCGCGCGCAGGCGGUUCCUUAAGUCUGAUGUGAAAGCCCCCGGCUCAACCGGGGAGGGUCAUUGGAAACUGGGGAACUUGAGUGCAGAAGAGGAGAGCGGAAUUCCACGUGUAGCGGUGAAAUGCGUAGAGAUGUGGAGGAACACCAGUGGCGAAGGCGGCUCUCUGGUCUGUAACUGACGCUGAGGCGCGAAAGCGUGGGGAGCGAACAGGAUUAGAUACCCUGGUAGUCCACGCCGUAAACGAUGAGUGCUAAGUGUUAGAGGGUUUCCGCCCUUUAGUGCUGCAGCAAACGCAUUAAGCACUCCGCCUGGGGAGU
RNAcentral lists this ribosomal RNA (840 nucleotides) under Bacillus sp. J119. RNAcentral describes it as "bacterial SSU rRNA". It matches the Rfam family "Bacterial small subunit ribosomal RNA", at positions 54 to 881 of the family's 1533-position model. Lineage: Bacteria; Bacillati; Bacillota; Bacilli; Caryophanales; Bacillaceae. The record is from RNAcentral.